GACACGGGGACCCUGACACGUACACUGCUGCUACGGUUCAAUAAAAGCAGUUCGUACCGAAGAAACCCCGUGUGUUAUUGCCUCCAAUCAUGACACUGACCAUCAGAUUUUCUUUCAAAUGCCAUUUAGCUCGUCCAUGUGGGCAGCUGUAAGUUUCAGUCAAACCUGGAGAUGUAAAACUGGUUUCACUGUGGACAGAGAUGCUGGUGUUCUAGCAGUUUCCAGUUUGUGGAGGUGUCAUGGCCCAGGAUCUUGGAUUAAGUUUUAUUUUGAUAGUCUGUGUGUAAUCAUCUGAUGACAUCACUCGGCUGGUCUGGGACCACCCCGGUGUUCCCCCAGAUGAGCUGGAGGACCUGGCUUGGGAGAGGCUGCCUCCCCAUGACCUGGUUCCAGGUUCUUCUGACUGUGCAACCUGUGACUGCAGCUUGAAUCCAAAGAUGAAAACAUCUGGAACUGAAAACUUGAGUACAUUUGGUCUGGUCUCAGCCAGAGACGACUUCAGAGCAAACACUGCUCGAGUUGCUUCCGCCUGCUUUUCAGGCAGCAUUUAUCCUAAAAACCACCUCCAUCGCCUCCACUCCUGCAGCUUUCAGUUUCCACAUACCCAUCAGACGCUUGAGUUGUCUCAGCUGGGUUUGGGCGGGGGAUCAUGUGACCAUCGACUCUGGAAACCUGACAUCAUUUUCCUGCCAACAUUGAAGCUGUGCAUUUAUUAUUAUUUAUGUAUCAGCUCUUUCCCUUGGUGUCAAUAAUCUGCCGACCAUAGAUGCCUCAGCUUCCCUCAAUGACUUGAUAUCUCACUAUAACAACAGACUCAUCAUCCUCUUAGGCACCUUGGGUCCUCAGAAAACUCGAGCCAGUUCCUUCUCUUGCUCUGGCCCCUGGUAUUCAGCUGAACUUCACCAACUCAAAGCUAUUGGACGCUGUCUUCAGGAAAACUGGACUUCCCUUUCAUAAGGAAAUGUAUCUCAGUCAUAUCUAACUUAUUCUAUUCUAUUCUAAAUGUGCCUGUCUCUGAAACACUUUGGCUCAGCUUCAGGAGGCUGUAAAUAAAACAGAUGUGACAGUCACCA
Long non-coding RNA from Oreochromis aureus, 1073 nucleotides. RefSeq lists it as uncharacterized. The transcript has 4 exons. The record is from RefSeq and is a predicted model, not a curated record. Lineage: Eukaryota; Metazoa; Chordata; Actinopteri; Cichliformes; Cichlidae.